GAUGAACGCUGGCGGCGUGCUUAACACAUGCAAGUCGAACGAAGCAUUUAAGACAGAUUACUUCGGUUUGAAGUCUUUUAUGACUGAGUGGCGGACGGGUGAGUAACGCGUGGGUAACCUGCCUCAUACAGGGGGAUAGCAGCUGGAAACGGCUGGUAAUACCGCAUAAGCGCACAGUACCACAUGGUACAGUGUGAAAAACUCCGGUGGUAUGAGAUGGACCCGCGUCUGAUUAGCUUGUUGGCGGGGUAACGGCCCACCAAGGCGACGAUCAGUAGCCGAGCUGAGAGGGUGACCGGCCACAUUGGGACUGAGACACGGCCCAGACUCCUACGGGAGGGAGCAGUGGGGAAUAUUGCACAAUGGAGGAAACUCUGAUGCAGCGACGCCGCGUGAGUGAAGAAGUAGUUCGCUAUGUAAAGCUCUAUCAGCAGGGAAGAUAGUGACGGUACCUGACGAAGAAGCGCCGGCUAAAUACGUG
RNAcentral lists this ribosomal RNA (481 nucleotides) under uncultured bacterium. RNAcentral describes it as "partial 16S ribosomal RNA". It matches the Rfam family "Bacterial small subunit ribosomal RNA", at positions 28 to 507 of the family's 1533-position model. The record is from RNAcentral.